UCCGUAGGUGGAUAAUUAAGUCAGAGGUGAAAUCCUGCAGCUCAACUGUAGAAUUGCCUUUGAUGCUGGUUAUCUUGAGUUAUUAUGAAGUAGUUAGAAUAUGUAGUGUAGCGGUGAAAUGCAUAGAUAUUACAUAGAAUACCAAUUGCGAAGGCAGAUUACUAAUAAUCAACUGACACUGAUGGACGAAAGCGUGGGGAGCGAACAGGAUUAGAUACCCUGGUAGUCC
This 229-nucleotide ribosomal RNA is filed under the name uncultured bacterium. RNAcentral describes it as "partial 16S ribosomal RNA". It matches the Rfam family "Bacterial small subunit ribosomal RNA", at positions 568 to 796 of the family's 1533-position model. The record is from RNAcentral.